CAUAUGUAAGCUCCCUUCGAAGGGACUCACAGCCUCUGUAAGCCAAGCUUCUGGUCGGACUCUCCUAAGGUAUGUACGCAUCAUUUGUUUCUGCUGGCUUCUGCCGCCCAUUCUAUUUGACUCUUAAUGCUAGAGUCUGCCUCUCUGUACCUUCUUCCCUCUGCUUGCCUGACCCAUCCGUUCCUCCUCACCUACUUGGUAAGUGUCCUCGCUGGUUCCAGGAGCCUGCAGUGCCCUCAUGGGACACCCAUUCUUUGGGCACCUUUGCAUCUUUCUGGUUCCUGAAACCUACUAUGCCUUCCAUUUUGGGAACUUGCUCCUCUGCCUAUAUUGGAACCCUCUGCUUUCCCAAAGCCUCUCUCCAUCCACCUCUUCAGCUGUUCUCCUCUACCUGCUCCCAGCAGGCACCUCUCCUCCAUUAGGUGAGUGUC
RNAcentral lists this long non-coding RNA (431 nucleotides) under Rattus norvegicus (Norway rat). RNAcentral describes it as "long non-coding RNA NONRATT012302". The record is from RNAcentral. Lineage: Eukaryota; Metazoa; Chordata; Mammalia; Rodentia; Muridae.